GGGCCCGCACAAGCGGUGGAGCAUGUGGUUUAAUUCGAUGCAACGCGAAGAACCUUACCUACCCUUGACAUCCUGCGAAGUCUUUAGAGAUAGAGAUGUGUCUUCGGAAACGCAGUGACAGGUGCUGCAUGGCUGUCGUCAGCUCGUGUCGUGAGAUGUUGGGUUAAGUCCCGUAACGAGCGCAACCCUUAUACUUAGUUGCCAUCACGUUUGGGUGGGCACUCUAGGGAAACUGCCGGUGCUAAGCCGGAGGAAGGCGGGGAUGACGUCAAGUCCUCAUGGCCCUUACGGGUAGGGCUACACACGUGCUACAAUGGCAGUGACAAUGGGAUAAUCCCCAAAAGCUGUCUCAGUUCGGAUUGUCGGCUGCAACUCGCCGGCAUG
This 384-nucleotide ribosomal RNA is filed under the name uncultured bacterium. Its description in RNAcentral is "bacterial SSU rRNA". It matches the Rfam family "Bacterial small subunit ribosomal RNA", at positions 917 to 1322 of the family's 1533-position model. The record is from RNAcentral.